Long non-coding RNA from Camelus dromedarius (Arabian camel), 1832 nucleotides. RefSeq annotates it as chromosome 25 C12orf60 homolog. The transcript has 3 exons. NCBI's taxonomy places the organism in Eukaryota, Metazoa, Chordata, Mammalia, Artiodactyla, Camelidae. The record is from RefSeq and is a predicted model, not a curated record.
AUGAGACGACUGGUCUACCUCUCGGGCCGGAGGCGUUCUGACCUAAUUUCCGGUAGCUUCUUUCGUGGCGCCGCCCGAAGUCGGCCGAUUCCAGCUGGGCAUGUUUUUCAGAUCUUAUCAUGAAGUGAAAACUCCAGUUUCUGACUUUGAAUUCAGAAGAUCACCAACUACAUCCCUAUUCAGAUAUUUAGUGCUGAGACAUUUCUGCUGGAGAAAUGUCUUCAGAGGCGGAAAAGGAUAAAGAGAGGCUGGUUCAAGCUGCCAAAACAUUCUUCUUUCACAUGCAAGAUCUCGCUUCCUUCACAAAUACACUCACCAAAUUGUUUAACAGCAGUAUGAACACCCAGAUCUCCUUGAUGACUGUGAGAGACGAUGGUAACGUUAAGGAUGUCUUUGAACAGAUGCUCAGAAUUUUUAAGGAAAUGCAGUCUGCAGUGGAGGCAAAGCACAACAAAAUGCAGAGUGAUCCUUUGAGUUCCAAGAUCGCAGCAGCCAUGUGCUCUGUGGCUGAGAAGAGUAGCAGUGUAAAGGAGCUGCAGCAGUCCGCUAAAGAGAUGUUCCACAAUACCCACAUACCAGCCCUUGUCUCUGUGCUGAAUAGUAGUAACGUCCUUGAGAGUUUGGAGUCCUCUCUUUCACUCUUAAUGAAAUAUCCUAUCAUGAAUCUUCAAUUAAGUGACUUCUAUAGAAAAGACACCAAAGAGCAAUCAGAUGCCACCGCAUCUGAGAAAAGCCCAAGUCCAGGUCCAUCCAAAGCCACUACAAUAGAUGCCUUGAACAAGUUGCAGGAUGCACUGAACACUGAGAAUGCCAAGAACACAAUUAAGUCAGCCGCAGAUCAGUUGGAGCAAGUUGUCAAAACUAUGGGACCAAUCUUAGAGACCCUCCAAAAAGCCAUAAAAACUAUGGAAGCCAAGUUUUCUGUGUUUAAGAAAGCCAGUGAUUAGUAGGAGGGAGACAGAAGUGCUCACUUUGUCAGAAAACCAAUUCAAAUCCUGUGAGUUUUCAUAAUACAUUCUAAGACCUUGGAUGCCGGACAUGUGGUCUGUUGGGGCAUGAGUUCAAAGAGUAGUCACCUGGCAAACCAUUUACCUCAAGUUUUGCUUUAUUCAAAUAAAAAUGAACAAAGAAAUCCUGCUUGAAAUGGCAGUUACUGAAAAGAAUAUAUUAUUCAAAACAAUCAAGUUUGGUUUAUGUAAAAAAGAGGUUGUUUCUAAACAUAUUUCAUCUUCAAGAUAAUUAAAAUAGCCCUCAACUAAUUUCCACUCUUCAUAAUCCUAUUUCUAGUUCCUACAGUGCAAAGUCCAGGUAAAUGUACCCAUUAUCAUUAAAUAAUCUGGCAGAAACUACCGUUCAGUCCUAGGAAGCGUAAACUUCCAUAUUUUUAUCACUCAUGUACCAAUUUUUAUAUACUUUAGUGCCUUGCCCAUCAUGAGCCAUCACUAAAUACUUUUAAUAUGAUUUAUCUAAAAGUAAAUAAGAACAGUGAGUGAGGAGUAAUAGACUUGUCUUGUUUGUGUGAAUAGGACGAGAGCAGAUGAGUUAUUCUUGUUUGUCUCCUACUGAGAUCUUAUAAUUAGGAGAUAUUGGAGGCUGGAAAAUGAAGGUGCUCUAUCUAACCUUUCACAAAGAAGAUAGCAUAACACUUGUUACUUGACCAUAAAAGAAGUAAGAUUUCUGAGCUGUGCUUGUAUUAGGGAUGAAAAGUUAGACAAAUCCAUUUGCCUACCUUAACAUCUUGGGCUCCCAUGGAUUGCAAAUGAGUGUAUGCUCUCAAGAUUGCCCUAUGUCACAUGAUACCCAGUAGGGACUUUGUUAAGAACAAGAAAAGC